GGCUUGCUAUCGGGCUGCUCCGUGCGUCUUUCCCCCCAGGCGUCAGGAACUGCGCCCUCAUGGCGGAGGUGAAGGUGAAGGUGCAGCCGCCCGACGCGGAUCCGGUCGAAAUAGAAAACAGGGUCAGUUGGAUCUCUUAAGGAGCAAUACGGGCCUUUUAUAUAGAAUAAAGGACUCUCAGAAUGCUGGUAAAAUGAAGGGAUCCGAUAACCAAGAAAAACUAGUAUAUCAAAUCAUAGAGGAUGCAGGAAAUAAAGGAAUAUGGAGCAGAGAUAUCCGCUAUAAAAGUAAUUUGCCAUUAACAGAAAUCAACAAAAUUCUGAAGAAUCUGGAAAGUAAAAAGCUUAUCAAAGCUGUUAAGUCUGUAGCAGCCUCAAAAAAGAAGGUGUAUAUGCUCUAUAACCUGCAGCCAGACCGGUCUGUGACUGGUGGAGCCUGGUACAGUGACCAGGAUUUUGAAUCUGAAUUUGUAGAGGUGCUUAACCAACAGUGUUUUAAAUUCCUACAGUCCAAGGCAGAAACAGCACGAGAAAGCAAACAGAACCCAAUGAUACAAAGAAAUAGUUCAUUUGCCUCAUCACAUGAAGUGUGGAAAUAUAUCUGUGAAUUGGGAAUCAGUAAGGUUUUUGAUGACUGCCACGAAGGUGGUGAGAUUUCACCAUCUAACUGUAUUUACAUGACAGAGUGGCUCGAAUUUUAAUAGAG
Molecule: small RNA, 705 nt
Filed under: Pan troglodytes (chimpanzee)
Lineage: Eukaryota; Metazoa; Chordata; Mammalia; Primates; Hominidae
Description: processed transcript
Source: RNAcentral